RNAcentral lists this ribosomal RNA (476 nucleotides) under uncultured bacterium. RNAcentral's name for it is "bacterial SSU rRNA". It matches the Rfam family "Bacterial small subunit ribosomal RNA", at positions 28 to 516 of the family's 1533-position model. The record is from RNAcentral.
GACGAACGCUGGCGGCGUGCCUAACACAUGCAAGUCGAGCGGAGAUCAUGGAGAGCUUGCUCAAAAUGAUUUUAGCGGCGGACGGGUGAGUAACGCGUGAGCAAUCUGUCCUACACAGGGGGAUAACAGCUGGAAACAGCUGCUAAUACCGCAUAAGACCACAGUACCGCAUGGCACAAGGGUCAAAGAUUUAUCGGUGUAGGGUGAGCUCGCGUCCCAUUAGAUAGUUGGCGGGUAACGGCCCACCAAGUCGACGAUCAGUAGCCGAGCUGAGAGGCUCAACGGCCACAUUGGGACUGAGAUACGGCCCAGACUCCUACGGGAGCAGCAGUCGGGAAUAUUGCGCAAUGGAGGAAACUCUGACGCAGUGACGCCGCGUAUAGGAAGAAGGUUUUCGGAUUGUAAACUAUUGUCAUUAGGGAAGAACAAAGACAGUACCUAAGGAGGAAGCCCCGGCUAACUAUGUGCCAGCAGCC